Molecule: non-coding RNA, 139 nt
Organism: Drosophila ananassae
Lineage: Eukaryota; Metazoa; Arthropoda; Insecta; Diptera; Drosophilidae
Source: Rfam
CCGUUCUUGUGUUUUUUGCUGGAUAAUCUCCUCAAGACCAGUGAUUGUCAAAAAGAACGAAGACUAUAGGCAGCUAAUCACUCCAUAAUGUUGAGCCGACUAUUCAGGGCUACUGCAUUACUAAAUGUAUGCUACAUAG